GCCAACAUGGGAAUGAGUCCAGUGUCUGGAAGGAAAAAUAUUAUUAACAAUUAUAAGAAAAAGAUGAAGAUGGCCAAAAUCAGAAAUGUGUUCUGGAAUCCUCCAAAAAUAGUGCAAAAGAGAUGCCAAACCUAACAAGUGAAGUGAAGCUCUUAGGGCAGGGUAAUAGGGAAAUGAAAAUGGUGAGAGGAGUUUCAGAUGCGACCUUGCUGAGGGUGACACCAUGGCCUCAUGAGUUCAGCUAUUUUCUGAACUCAGGAGCAUCAGAAGGUAACUCUGGUCUCCGAGAGUAUUCAAUGAUAUUUGGAGUUCUCCAGCACAGCCUGCUUGCUGCAUCAGUUCCUGCCAAUAAAAUAAGCAAUAGUGAAUGAAUGACCCAUCAGCUCCAAAGUGGAGAUUGGAAUGGGGAUUUUCUCCAGUAGCUGCAGAAAAGGCAAUGCCUGGACUUUACUGACUCUCUUCUCUGAACAGUGGCUUAAAUAUUGACAACUCCUGAUCAAAAAAAGCAGGCUGUCAGAAGCUAAUAGGAGAACUGGGAAGAGACUUUCUCACAUCCCACAGCAGCUGGCUGGCCAGGUGAAGACAAGCGCCUGGUAUCAGAUGUUUGUCCUGAGAUGGCAGCCCCCAGUCCUGUAUGCAAGAGAUGACAGGAGGGAAGGCAGCGCUGUGACCACACACAGGCUUUGGGCUGCCCCGGCGAGCCCCCAGGAGCAUCCCAGGCAGUGAGCAACCUGCACUGCCGAGCCCACCAACCACUCCGAGCACCCGGGGUCAGCGACAGUCAGCUGUGCAAACAGAUGAACACGUGUGUUGAGACCGAUGGAGGAAGACCCAACAGAACCAGAGAGCUCCUCGGCUCCAGAGGCAGUGGUUCUGGCCUCUGUUCAAGCACCAAUCUCCACCUCAGGAAUACUGCCUUGGGCUUUCAAAGGCAUCUGAGAGCACAUCCUUUCUCCAGAAUGAACUCAGCUUUCACUGAGAGGGUGUCCUGUUCCCCAUCCAAACGGUUCUCCCCCAGGCUGGGGAACUUCAACCGGCCCCAGAGGACAUAGCUAGGAGGCCAAGGCAGCAGGCAAGCACCACUUUUCUUGUAUUUUGCAUAUUUUUCAGCUAUAUUUUCUCAGCUAUGUUUUGCUCUUCCCUACAGCAGCAUAACAGGAGUCAUGUCUUACUCCAAGGAUCCCCUCCUUUGCUGGGGUACUUCCAUUUCCCAUCUAAAAAGCAGUUCCCUCAAAAAGUAAAAUGGGACCUAGCUGCUCUUCCUUGCUUUAGUUCCAUGCUGGAACAGGAUACACACGCAGUCAUUCAUGCUGUCUAAUACAUUUGUUUCUAGUUUAGAUCUAUUCAAAAUGAGACCCAGUAUGGACAUCUGUCUUAUUAUCCAACAGUAGGUUAAAAAAAAAAACCUCUGCUGCCUCUGUAGGAGGGAUGUAGAUAAAAGGCAGCUGGAUGCAAGUGGACUUUCAGAAGCUUUCUUCCAUGAACCACGUAAUGGGACUCAGUGCAGAGAAAGUCCAUCCCAUACUCUUGCAUAUUCCAGAACAGUGGAGGAGUUGGUCACCACCUUCUCCACAAGGCAGCUGUCACCAAGAUUGGCACCAUAGAGACACUCAGAUACACUCCAUGAGAGCCAGAGGUCAACUGCCUUACUAGGGAAAGAGAGAUUUGCCAAGUCCAAGGGGACUGAACCUUGGGAGGGUUUCUCUGUCAGGGCCUGGAGGACACCAAUGCACCUUAAUUGCCCUGUGCACCCUCUCUGCCCUUGGGCUCAUGGGUUCCAUUUACCUUCAGGGCAGGGCAGCUAGUACUGCCCUGGGCUACACAGUAAGUAUACCCGUCUCUUCUCUCGCCCUGUCUCCUGGCUGGGCUCUUGCAGACUUACCUCCAGCCCUGGUGUGGUCCAUCCCUUUGCCUUGUCUGGGACUGCUGGUGGACCCUGUGCCAGCAAUCCACUCUGCACCACUGCGUGCAGAUGCUGUGGGAGAGCAUGCUGUUGAUGUGGGACCCACCCACACCAGGGUCCGCCCUGGUUCCUGGCUUGUCUCCCUGCAUGGGGCAGCCCCCUUCUUGCAGCUGGGUGACAGUCUGUGUUUGGUAGGCAGGAGCUGCUUUAACAGAUUCUGCUUGGCUUUUAAAAUGUGGCUUAAUUCCAAUGUUGAUGGCUCUAAUGUAACUUUAAA
Aquila chrysaetos chrysaetos is the source of this 2180-nucleotide long non-coding RNA. RefSeq lists it as uncharacterized. Lineage: Eukaryota; Metazoa; Chordata; Aves; Accipitriformes; Accipitridae. The transcript has 3 exons. The record is from RefSeq and is a predicted model, not a curated record.